AUAACCUUAUUGUAUGCCUGAAUACUAUGAUCGCAAGAUUGAAACUCAAAAGGCUUGGCUGUUCACUGUUUGAAUCAGAGGAGCGUGUAAUUUAAUACGAUGAUCCGCGUGUCACCUUACCUUUCCUUGAAAGCGGGCCACCUGUCGGUGGUAGCCGCUCAGGCAUUGCAUGGCCGUCGUCAGGAUAACAAUAAAUGUUAUCCUUAACCCUAUUAUGGAUUAAGUCAGGUGUCAUGGUCUUUAUGGAAAGGGAUAUUAUGCGCUACAUUCUCCUACACAAUAUAUAUAUAUAGUAAAUUAGGAGGCGGAGAUUCUCUGAAAUGGGAAUCUUAAGUAAGAUUUGAUAGUAAUCGGGAAGUAGAGCGUUCCGGUGAAUUCUAACCCAGUGUUAGCACAAAUCGCCCGUCGUCCCCUUCAAGUUAAAGAUACGAGACGCCCCGUCAAAGGCGGGGUUAUCCCUCCUUUUCGAGAAUGGGUAAGUCGUAACAUAGUAGGGGUAAGGGAACUUGUUCUUG
Molecule: ribosomal RNA, 515 nt
Filed under: Cladarisis nouvianae
Lineage: Eukaryota; Metazoa; Cnidaria; Anthozoa; Scleralcyonacea; Keratoisididae
Description: partial 12S ribosomal RNA
Rfam family: Bacterial small subunit ribosomal RNA
Source: RNAcentral